AACAACAGCAGUAGUAGCAGCAGUAGUAACAACAGCAGUAGUUGCAGCAGUAGUAACAACAGCAGUAGUUGCAGCAGCAGCAACAGCAGUAGUUGCAGCAACAGCAGCAGCAGCAGUAGUAGCAGCAACAGCAGUAGUAGCAGCAACAGCAGUAGUAGCAGCAACAGCAGCAACAGCAGUAGUAGCAGCAACAGCAGUAGUAGCAGCAACAGCAGUAGUAGCAGCAGCAGCAGCAGUAGUAACAGCAGCAGUAGUAGCAGCAACAGCAGCAGUAGCAGCAACAGCAGUAGUAGUAGCAGCAACAGCAGCAGUAGUAGCAGCAGCAGCAGCAGCAGCAGCAGAGCAGCAGCAGCAGCAGCAGUAGUAGAAGCAGCAGCAGCAGUAACAACAGCAGCAGCAGUAACAACAGCAGCAGCAGCAGUAACAACAGCAACAGCAGCAGCAGUAACAGCAGCAGCAGUAGCAGCAGCAGCAGCAGCAGUAACAACAGCAGCAGCAGCAGUAACAACAGCAGCAGCAGCAGUAACAACAGCAGCAGCAGUAGCAACAGCAGCAGCAGCAGUAACAACAGCAGCAGCAGCAGUAACAACAGCAGCAGCAGUAACAACAGCAGCAGCAGCAGUAACAACAGCAGCAGCAGCAGUAACAGCAGCAGCAGCAGCAGUAACAACAGCAGCAGCAGUAACAGCAGCAGCAGCAGCAGUAGUAGUAACAACAACAGCAGCAGUAGUAGUAACAACAACAGCAGCAGCAGUAGCAACAGCAGCAGCAGCAGCAUCAGCAGCAGCAGCAGCAGCAGUAGUAACAACAACAGCAGCAGCAGUAGUAACAACAACAGCAGCAGCAACAGUAGUAACAACAACAGCAGCAGCAGCAGUAGUAACAACAGCAGCAGCAGCAGCAGUAGUAACAACAACAGCAGCAGCAGCAGCAGCAA
RNAcentral lists this long non-coding RNA (937 nucleotides) under Salmo salar (Atlantic salmon). RNAcentral's name for it is "lncRNA (ENSSSAG00000087679.1)". Lineage: Eukaryota; Metazoa; Chordata; Actinopteri; Salmoniformes; Salmonidae. The record is from RNAcentral.